GCAGUACACAUCAAAAUGUUAUUGAUCAGCAAGUAUGAUGCAAUGAACUACUGUGAUUACUUUGAUGUGUGGGGACCAGGAACCUAUGUCGCAGUGACAUCAGCAACUCCUAGUGGACCUUCUGUGUAUCCAGUAAGCCCCUGCUGUGAUGCAGAGGCAUCCCAAGAUCCUUUGAAGAUAGGUUGUUUUGUAACUGCAGACAGCCCUUCAGAUAAUAUCCAGUGGUUUCUCGGAUCAUCUCAAAUCUCUAGUGGUGUGACACAAUACCCUGAAGUGUACAGCAAUGGUCGAUACUCACUCAGCUCUGUUUUAAACCUUAAGUCAGAUGACUGGAAAGCUGGAUCAUAUGAAUGUCAUUUUGGGUCACUGAAUAAACAAGUGAAAAAACGAGAAGAAUGCAAGGAAGAUUGUCCAAACAAAAAUCCAAAGAUAGAGUUAUAUAUGGCAUCUUGUGAACCAGAUGAUCCAAAAAAUAUGUACUUAUUUUGCGACUUGUCAGACUUUGCACCAGAAGACAUAGAAGUGGCAUGGUUUAAAGGCACUUCAACUGUGACAGACUUCAUCACCAUUGGAAAUGUAACAGAAGUAUAUAACUGCUCCUUCCACACUUCUAGCAAAUUAAAGAUUGUUCCAGAGGAGUGGAGCAAUGGGAUGGAGUAUAAGUGCUUAGCUACACAUUCUAAACAAUCAGUUGAAAAAAAAAUCAGUUCAUGCACAGCUUGUCCAAAACCAAGCCCUACAAUUGAACUGAUGAAAUCAUCAUACAGAGAUUUCUUCACGAAAAAAAAUGGUACUCUCACAUGCAAUGUCACUUCAUUUUUGAAGAAUACAAUAGUAAUCCUGAAACAAGAUAAUGAUGAAUUAGUAAAAAAACAAUUGAGCAGUUCUGAAGCAACAGGCAAUGGGACAUGGAAUGUACAUAUUUCAUUUGACAUAUCAAAAGCGGACUGGAGAAAGAAGACCUUCAUCUGUGAGGCACAGCACACAUGUAAAACAGACAAGAAAACCUUAAAUCCUGAAGAAACAAAAGAACAGAAGAAGCCAUCUGUGAAGAUUCAUAAAGCUGUGUCAUCCAUCUUCAACACCUUAAUAUGUAUAAUAUCUGGAUAUUAUCCUGAAGAAAUAUUUGUGAAGUGGGAACAGAAUGGUCAUCUAGUCAACACAGAAGCUUUCAAUAACCCAGCAGUUUAUGAUAAAGCAAGCAAGUCAUAUACAAUGCAAAGCAUUCUUCUUAUCCCAAUAGAAGAUGUUAGAGAAACAUCCAAUUGGUCCUGCAUGGUUGGUCAUUCUGCACUGAGUGAAAUGAUGUCAGACUCAACAGAAGUGAAGCCAUUUGCACAACCCAAGGUCCCACCAACUGUAGCUAUUUCAGAACCUUCGGCUGAUGAGAACAAUGAACAACGUUUAAAUAUUGACUGCAUUGCCUAUGGGUUCUUUCCCAAGAACAUUGCUAUUCAGUGGUUGUCACAAGAGCCAAAAAAGCUUCUCGUUAAAACAUUCGAUGUAGAACUAGGAGAAAGUGGAACAUACAGCAUCAAAAGUAUAUUGAAUCUCUCUAAGGAAGAAUGGCAUGAGGGGCAGUUCACCUGCGAUGUGAAGCAUGAAGCUACAAAGACACGAAUACUCAGGAACACCACUAACACUCAUGCCUGUUCUGAGUACAUGGCGGCACCAGAUGUCUACACAAUCAAACCUUCAUAUGAAGACAUUGUGAUUAACAGAAAAGCAACACUCACUUGUCUUGUGGUUGGAUAUGAACUGGACUCUGUAAACAUAACUUGGACAGAAAAUGACAGCCUUAUCACUGAUGGAAUUAGUAGCAAUACAGAGAUACAUUCGAAUGGAACUGAAACAGUGAAGGGUUUGUUAGGAAUCCCCGCCGAUGACUGGCUGAAUGGCAGGAAAUAUUCAUGCAAAGUGGCACAUUCAGCUCUGCCUACACCAAAACUGAUGGAUAUGUGGUUUGAAGAAGGAUCAACAGAAACUAAAAGCAAGACAAGAGCUCCAGAGGUGAACCUCCGACUGCCUACACCUGAAGAGGUAAAAAAAGAUGAAAACCUUACCCUGAUUUGCCUCAUAGAAAAUUACUUCCCAGAUUAUAUUUUUGUUCAGUGGAGGGAAAACAACACUAGAAUACCUUCUUCAAACUACCGGAACAGUGAUAGCUAUUUUAACCAGAAAACCAAUGCUUACACAAUGGACAGUAAACUAGUGGUGCAAACUAAAGACUGGGAUGAAGAAAAAACGUAUACCUGCAUGGUCAACCACAUAUCCUCAACCUGGACGAUAUUUAAAGAGGGAAAUAAGCACACUGGUAAACCAACUACAGUGAAUCUCUCUGUUUAUUUAACAGAAGGGAAACGUGAAUGCCAUGUAUAGUGUCUGCUCAAACUGAAAAAAAUAUCCUAAUGUACUUACUGAAUGUACAUAUUGCCUAUGUGUUGUUUAUGUUUGCAAUUAUAUAUUAAAAGAUGUGUUAUA
Non-coding RNA from Protopterus annectens (West African lungfish), 2481 nucleotides. The record is from the annotation of a RefSeq genome assembly. Lineage: Eukaryota; Metazoa; Chordata; Ceratodontiformes; Protopteridae.